Molecule: ribosomal RNA, 301 nt
Filed under: uncultured bacterium
Lineage: Bacteria
Description: bacterial SSU rRNA
Rfam family: Bacterial small subunit ribosomal RNA
Source: RNAcentral
AUUUAUCGGAUACAGAUGGGCAAUGCGCAGGAUUAGCUAGUUGGUGUGGUAACGGCACACCAAGGCGACGAUCCUUAGGGGCUCUGAGAGGAGGUAACCCCCACACUGGCACUGAGAUACGGGCCAGACUCCUACGGGAGGCAGCAGUAGGGAAUAUUGGGCAAUGGAGGCAACUCUGACCCAGCCAUGCCGCGUGCAGGAAGACGGCCCUCUGGGUUGUAAACUGCUUUAAGUAGGAGGAAAGUGCAGCUUGCGAGCUGUUUUGACGUUACUACUAGAAUAAGCCACGGCUAACUACGUG